RNAcentral lists this ribosomal RNA (484 nucleotides) under uncultured bacterium. Its description in RNAcentral is "partial 16S ribosomal RNA". It matches the Rfam family "Bacterial small subunit ribosomal RNA", at positions 30 to 507 of the family's 1533-position model. The record is from RNAcentral.
AUUGAACGCUGGCGGCAGGCCUAGCACAUGCAAGUCGAGCGGAUGAAGGGAGCUUGCUCCUGGAUUCAGCGGCGGACGGGUGAGUAAUGCCUAGGAAUCUGCCUGGUAGUGGGGGAUAACGUCCGGAAACGGGCGCUAAUACCGCAUACGCCCUGAGGGAGAAAGUGGGGGAUCUUCGGACCUCACGCUAUCAGAUGAGCCUAGGUCGGAUUAGCUAGUUGGUGGGGUAAAGGCCUACCAAGGCGACGAUCCGUAACUGGUCUGAGAGGAUGAUCAGUCACACUGGAACUGAGACACGGUCCAGACUCCUACGGGAGGCAGCAGUGGGGAAUAUUGGACAAUGGGCGAAAGCCUGAUCCAGCCAUGCCGCGUGUGUGAAGAAGGUCUUCGGAUUGUAAAGCACUUUAAGUUGGGAGGAAGGGCAGUAAGUUAAUACCUUGCUGUUUUGACGUUACCAACAGAAUAAGCACCGGCUAACUUCGUG